This 262-nucleotide ribosomal RNA is filed under the name uncultured bacterium. Its description in RNAcentral is "partial 16S ribosomal RNA". It matches the Rfam family "Bacterial small subunit ribosomal RNA", at positions 91 to 353 of the family's 1533-position model. The record is from RNAcentral.
GAGAGUGGCGAACGGGUGAGUAAUGCGUGACCGACCUGCCCCAUACACCGGAAUAGCUCCUGGAGACGGGUGGUAAUGCCGGAUGCUCCAGUUGAUCGCAUGGUCUUCUGGGAAAGCUUUCGCGGUAUGGGAUGGGGUCGCGUCCUAUCAGCUUGACGGCGGGGUAACGGCCCACCGUGGCUUCGACGGGUAGCCGGCCUGAGAGGGCGACCGGCCACAUUGGGACUGAGACACGGCCCAAACUCCUACGGGAGGCAGCAUG